GACGGGACCCGCACAAGCGGUGGAUGAUGUGGAUUAAUUCGAUGCAACGCGAAGAACCUUACCUACCCUUGACAUGUCCGGAACUUGCCAGAGAUGGCUUGGUGCCCGAAAGGGGAUCGGAACACAGGUGCUGCAUGGCUGUCGUCAGCUCGUGUCGUGAGAUGUUGGGUUAAGUCCCGCAACGAGCGCAACCCUUAUCAUUAGUUGCUACGCAAGGGCACUCUAAUGAGACUGCCGGUGACAAACCGGAGGAAGGUGGGGAUGACGUCAAGUCCUCAUGGCCCUUAUGGGUAGGGCUUCACACACGCUACAAUGGCCAACACAAUAGGUUGCUAAGCCGCGAGGUGGCGCCAAUCCAUAAAGUUGGUCUCAGUUCAGAUUGUAGGCUGCAACCCGCCUGCAUGAAGAUGGAGUUGCUAGUAACCGCAGGUCAGCUAUACUGCGGUGAAUACGUUCCCGGGGCUU
This 465-nucleotide ribosomal RNA is filed under the name uncultured Thiobacillus sp. RNAcentral's name for it is "bacterial SSU rRNA". It matches the Rfam family "Bacterial small subunit ribosomal RNA", at positions 916 to 1381 of the family's 1533-position model. The record is from RNAcentral. Lineage: Bacteria; Pseudomonadati; Pseudomonadota; Betaproteobacteria; Nitrosomonadales; Thiobacillaceae.